UCUGUGAACAUUGGUGCACGGAGCUGCGUUAGAGGUGCUGGGUGAUCGCGGCAGCUCUGUGAACAGUGGUGAUGGAGUCGUGUUCAGGAAAGGUGCUGGGGCUGUACUAGGGGCAGCUCUUGUGAACUGGUGUGAUGAGAGCGUGUAUCGGAGGUGCUGGGGCUGUAUCGGGCAGCUCUGUGAACAGUGGUGAUGGAGCGUGUUAGGAGGUGCUGGGGUGGG
This 222-nucleotide long non-coding RNA is filed under the name Pan troglodytes (chimpanzee). RNAcentral's name for it is "lncRNA (ENSPTRG00000053533.1)". The record is from RNAcentral. Lineage: Eukaryota; Metazoa; Chordata; Mammalia; Primates; Hominidae.